This 262-nucleotide ribosomal RNA is filed under the name Eucampia antarctica. Its description in RNAcentral is "partial Eukaryotic large subunit ribosomal RNA". It matches the Rfam family "Eukaryotic large subunit ribosomal RNA", at positions 177 to 435 of the family's 3401-position model. Lineage: Eukaryota; Bacillariophyta; Thalassiosirophyceae; Eucampiales; Eucampiaceae. The record is from RNAcentral.
CAGUCUAAGUUCCUUGGAACAGGACGUCAUAGAGGGUGAGAAUCCCGUAUGGGAUGGGGUGUCCGCGCCCGUGUGAAGCUCCUUCGACGAGUCGAGUAGUUUGGGAAUGCUGCUCAAAAUGGGAGGUAUAUCUCUUCUAAAGCUAAAUACCGGCCAGAGACCGAUAGCGCACAAGUAGAGUGAUCGAAAGAUGAAAAGCACUUUGAAAAGAGAGUUAAAAAGCACGUGAAAUUGUUGAAAGGGAAGCGCUUGCAGCCAGACU